Long non-coding RNA from Diprion similis, 331 nucleotides. RefSeq lists it as uncharacterized. NCBI's taxonomy places the organism in Eukaryota, Metazoa, Arthropoda, Insecta, Hymenoptera, Diprionidae. The record is from RefSeq and is a predicted model, not a curated record. The transcript is spliced from 3 exons.
GGCGUCGUAAAAGGUAGUCGCAGCUGAUCUGCCGGGCAGUAAGGUGUUCGGGUACAUCUAUCCGUCAGUUCUACGUUUCGCGCGAGCUAGUAAAGCGUGUGAGAAAUUGUGUCUGGUGUUAUUUUUGACAGUGACCGUGCAGGGUGCAGAGAUUGGGAAUAUUUGGCGGAGAUUCUGUUUCCCGAGUGAAUCGCAGCAGCGCAGAUACUGAUUCCGCACCGGCAUUGGUACACGUGUCUUCCAGCUGUAACCCUUGUCACCCACGGACUUUGGUUCGAAAUCGUUUUGGAAGGCGACCGGAUAAAAAUUGAAAUUGAUCCCUAAUAAAGGU